RNAcentral lists this ribosomal RNA (1521 nucleotides) under metagenome. RNAcentral's name for it is "bacterial LSU rRNA". It matches the Rfam family "Bacterial large subunit ribosomal RNA", at positions 1406 to 2925 of the family's 2925-position model. The record is from RNAcentral.
UAUGCGUAGCUGAUGGGAAACAGGUCAAUAUUCCCGUACCGAUGUGUAGUGCGAUGUGGGGACGGAUCUUAAUAGGUCAUCCAGGUGUUGGAUAUCCUGGUUUAGUUGGAUGUAGGCGAUGGGUAGGCAAAUCCGCCCGUCAUAUACCGAGGCCAACGAUCGAGCAAGCUUGCUUGCUGAGUGACUGAACGAGGUUCCAGGAAAAGCCACUAAGCUUCAGCUACAUACGACCGUACCGCAAACCGACACUGGUGCGCGAGAUGAGUAUUCUAAGGCGCUUGAGAGAACUCAGGAGAAGGAACUCGGCAAAUUGACACCGUAACUUCGGAAGAAGGUGUGCCUUAUUAGUGUGAAGUGAACAACGGAGCAUGAAUGGGUUGCAAAAAAUCGGUGGCUGCGACUGUUUAUUAAAAACACAGCACUCUGCAAACACGAAAGUGGACGUAUAGGGUGUGACGCCUGCCCGGUGCUGGAAGAUUAAAUGAUGGGGUGCAAGCUCUUGAUUGAAGUCCCAGUAAACGGCGGCCGUAACAAUAACGGUCCUAAGGUAGCGAAAUUCCUUGUCGGGUAAGUUCCGACCUGCACGAAUGGCGUAACGAUGGCCACACUGUCUCCUCCUGAGACUCAGCGAAGUUGAAAUGUUUGUGAUGAUGCAAUCUCCCCGCGGAAAGACGGAAAGACCCCAUGAACCUUUACUGUAGCUUUGUAUUGGACUUUGAACAGAUCUGUGUAGGAUAGGUGGGAGGCUUUGAAGCGGUGCCGCUAGGUAUCGUGGAGCCAACGUUGAAAUACCACCCUGGUGUGUUUGAGGUUCUAACCUAGGUCCAUUAUCUGGAUCGGGGACAGUGCAUGGUAGGCAGUUUGACUGGGGCGGUCUCCUCCCAAAGCGUAACGGAGGAGUUCGAAGGUACGCUAGUUACGGUCGGACAUCGUGACGAUAGUGCAAUGGCAUAAGCGUGCUUAACUGCGAGACUGACAAGUCGAGCAGAUGCGAAAGCAGGACAUAGUGAUCCGGUGGUUCUGUAUGGAAGGGCCAUCGCUCAACGGAUAAAAGGUACUCUGGGGAUAACAGGCUGAUACCGCCCAAGAGUUCAUAUCGACGGCGGUGUUUGGCACCUCGAUGUCGGCUCAUCUCAUCCUGGGGCUGUAGCCGGUCCCAAGGGUAUGGCUGUUCGCCAUUUAAAGAGGUACGUGAGCUGGGUUUAAAACGUCGUGAGACAGUUUGGUCCCUAUCUUCCGUGGGCGCUGCAGAUUUGAGGAAGCCUGCUCCUAGUACGAGAGGACCGGAGUGGACACACCUCUGGUGUAUCGGUUGUCACGCCAGUGGCAUUGCCGAGUAGCUAAGUGUGGAAGAGAUAAACGCUGAAAGCAUCUAAGCGUGAAACUCGUUUCAAGAUGAGAUCUGCCGGGGCCUUGAGCCCCCUGAAGAGUCGUUCUAGACCAGGACGUUGAUAGGUCAGGUGUGGAAGCGCAGUAAUGCGUUAAGCUAACUGAUACUAAUUGCUCGUGCGGCUUGACCCC